CCUACGGGGGGCAGCAGUGGGGAAUAUUGGACAAUGGGGGCAACCCUGAUCCAGCCAUGCCGCGUGUGUGAAGAAGGCCCUCGGGUUGUAAAGCACUUUCAGUGAGGAAGAACGCCUGGUGGUUAAUACCCAUCAGGAAAGACAUCACUCACAGAAGAUGCACCGGCUAACUCCGUGCCAGCAGCCGCGGUAAUACGGAGGGUGCGAGCGUUAAUCGGAAUUACUGGGCGUAAAGCGCGCGUAGGUGGCUUGAUAAGCCGGUUGUGAAAGCCCCGGGCUCAACCUGGGAACGGCAUCCGGAACUGUCAAGCUAGAGUGCAGGAGAGGAAGGUAGAAUUCCCGGUGUAGCGGUGAAAUGCGUAGAGAUCGGGAGGAAUACCAGUGGCGAAGGCGGCCUUCUGGACUGACACUGACACUGAGGUGCGAAAGCGUGGGUAGCAAACAGGAUUAGAUACCCUAGUAGUC
Molecule: ribosomal RNA, 465 nt
Filed under: Vreelandella stevensii
Lineage: Bacteria; Pseudomonadati; Pseudomonadota; Gammaproteobacteria; Oceanospirillales; Halomonadaceae
Description: partial 16S ribosomal RNA
Rfam family: Bacterial small subunit ribosomal RNA
Source: RNAcentral